UGCACAGUGAAAUAUACAUACAGGUGUCUCAGCAUAGAAAGUAGAGAGUGUUAUUCUUUCUCGCAACCUCGAUUCAGAACUAUGGAUGGCAGAAAAGCUAAUAUUUGCUUCGUGUUAUUGCUUUUGUUUCUUGGGAACCCUAGUUUUACAGCAGGUGAGUGUUGGGAAACUACUUCGAGUAGUCCUCUAUGUAUAGGUUUUUUGUGCAAGGCGACAUGCUGGAUUGGUGCCAAAGUAUGGAAAGCCAAGGUCAAGGUUCACAAGUGCAUGGGUUCUGCACUCAGUAGCAGUUGUUAUUGUUACUAUUGUGAUAACAAGCCGACCUAAAGAUAUAUAUUGUCUACAACUAUUAGCAAUGGAUAAAUUAAUGAUUUACUGCUUGUUCAGCUAGGGAAUGAAUAAGUAAACUCUAAAAUUUUAUAAGAUAAUUAGAUUUCUAAAGUUUAUGUAAUUCUUUCUUUGUUUGCAUGUAUUUUGCUAGGAAUAUUUAGUCCCUCGCUUAAUAAAUUUGUCAAUUGUGCCUA
Oryza brachyantha (malo sina) is the source of this 524-nucleotide long non-coding RNA. RefSeq lists it as uncharacterized. The transcript has 2 exons. The record is from RefSeq and is a predicted model, not a curated record. NCBI's taxonomy places the organism in Eukaryota, Viridiplantae, Streptophyta, Magnoliopsida, Poales, Poaceae.